Molecule: ribosomal RNA, 2370 nt
Filed under: Triticum aestivum (bread wheat)
Lineage: Eukaryota; Viridiplantae; Streptophyta; Magnoliopsida; Poales; Poaceae
Description: partial small subunit ribosomal RNA
Source: RNAcentral
AUGGCACAGACAAUGGGUAGUCAAUAUAGAGUUUUUCCUGAUGAUGUGGAGUUUUCACCGGAUGAUGUUGACCACCCAGCCACAAUGCAAUCUCAAACUGUUUUUGAUGUGGUUGAUAGUACUGAGAGAUGUGAGUCCUCCGUGGUUAAUCAGGAAGAACCACUCAUAGAUUGGAGCUUGAUUGAGAUAGCUCCUCCCAUAACUGAAGAAGACAAUAUGUGUGAUCCUCUUGGUAUUAACGAUGUCGACAUUCCCAUAACCGAAGAUAAUAUGUGCGAUCUUCUUGGUAUCAACGAUGAGGCGGGCCCUGAGCCACCACCUUCUCCACCUAGUGAGGAAGUUUACAUGACCGAUGAGGAGGACCAUCAGCUUUUCAUUGAGGCUGCCAUUCCCGUGGAUGAUAGUGUGCCACCAGAUGAGGAGAUUGCAUAUGAUAAAGAGAACCCGCAGAUGUAUCUUGGUGCUUUGUUUCCUUCAAUGAAAGAUUUUAGGAUGGCUAUCAGACAAUAUGGAAUUAAAAGGGAGAUCGACAUUUGGGGAUAUAAGACUGAUAAGAAAAGAUAUCUUGGCAAAUGUAGAGCCAAGGGUUGUCCAUGGAGGAUUACAGCCAGAGUGAGGACCGAUGGACAAAACAUAAGGGUUACCAAGAUUUCUGUGAAGCACAAGUGCUCCUCUACCGGUAGGAUAAAAAGCAGCAUGACAUCUCAAGGAUGGGUAGCACAGAGGACCGUACCCCUUAUACAGAGUGACCCUACAAUUGGAUGCAAAGAGCUGUUGGAGAAUUUGCAAGAUACAUAUGGCACUACAAUUGAGUAUCAUACGGUGUGGAAAGGCAAAGAUAUAGCACAAAAAGAGAUUUAUGGUAGCAUGAGGCAAAGUUUUCAAUAUUUGUUUAACUUCAAAGCGGAAGUUGAGAAGAGAUCCCCAGGCAGCAUUGUAGAGGUGGAUAUGAAGAUGGUUAACGGUAUGGUUCGCUUUAACCGAUUCUUUAUGGCUCUUAAACCUUGCAUUGAUGGCUUUAAAGCUGGUUGUAGACCAUAUCUUAGUAUAGACUCAACUGCACUCACCGGUAAAUGGAGAGGUCACUUAGCCGCUUGUACAACAUUAGAUGGGCAUAAUUGGAUGUAUCCUGUAGCAUUUGCAUUCAUUGAUGGUGAAACCGAUGAAAAUUGGACAUGGUUCAUGUCACAACACAACAAGGCAUUAGGUCCUGUUUCCCCUCUAGCUAUAUGCACAGAUGCAUGUAAAGGUUUAGAGAAUGCAGUCCAAAAAAUAUUCCCUUAUGCAGAUCAAAGGGAGUGUUUUAGGCAUCUCAUGGCUAACUUCUCUAAAAAGUUCCAAGGAGAUGUGUUUGGCAGAAUGUGGCCAGCUGCUAGGGCAUAUAGGCCACAAGUUUUUAACUACCACAUGAAUAAAAUCCUAGCAGAAGCACCUGAUGUGCAUGAAUAUCUCUCAAGGUACCACAACUUAAAAUGGAUGAGAUGCAUGUUUGACACCUCCAUUAAAUGUGAUUACAUCAAGAAUAACCUUGCCGAGUCUUUUAAUGGUUGGAUUAAAGAUUACAAAGAUUUGCCACCUGAUGAGCUAGCUGACACUCUUAGAGAGCUAGUCAUGAAACUUCAUGAGAAAAGGAGAAAGAUUGGAAUGAAACUGAAAGGAAAAAUUAUUCCAGCCAUCAUCCAACAGAUUCAUAAUAGGACAAGGGGACUUAAACAUUUGAAAGUUGGGAAAUCUGGAGUUGCAAGUUGUGAGGUGAGGGACACAAGUAAAUACAACUUGCGACAUGUUGUGAAAACUGACCAAAGCGAGUGCACGUGCUUGGAGUGGCAGCACAUAGGGAAGCCUUGUGAGCAUGCACUUGCUUUCUUGCUAGAUAGAAGGAACCCCAGAUGGGAGGAUUAUGUGCAUGACUAUUUCUCUCUGGAGAAGUUUCGGGCAGCAUAUGCUGGAGAGAUUGAGCCAUUGACAGAUAGGUCUCAAUGGCCACAUGUACAAUUUCCAUUUGAUAUGGAGGCUCCAUUAGACAAGAAAAGAGGUGUUGGAAGGCCUAGAAAGAACAGGUACAAGAGCUUCCUCAAAGGUGGAGAUGGUGGUCCUAAAAAGAAGAAAGAGCCAAAACAGCUAGGCAGCAAGAAUAGAUGCAAAAGAUGCCACAUUUUAGGCCACAGGCAGUCCACGUGUCCAUUGAAUGGACCAAAGCCAAGGAAAAGAAAGAAGAGAGCACCAAGAUAUCCAGCUGAUGAUGAUGCCUCGGCACCGGAACCUGAAGUGGCAGCCCAACAACCUGAAGUUGUUGUCACUCCCAAUAGGCACAUGAUCACUAUGCCACAAAGUCUUCAAGGCAGCCCCAUUCCAGUGACAAGAAGGUAA